AAUAAGCGGAGGAAAAGAAACUAACAAGGAUUCCCUCAGUAGCGGCGAGUGAAGCGGGAAAAGCCCAGCACCGAAUCCCCUGCUCCUUUGCGGGUAGCGGGACCUGUGGUGUUAGGGACGGUUUACGGGAGAGAGAGUCGCGGCGGCCCGUGUCCUCUCGAUAGGGGCCUCAUCCAUAGCGGGUGUCUGGCCUCUAGGCUCGCUAGGCUCUCUCGACCUGUCCGUCCCCGGAGUCGGGUUGUUUGAUAAUGCAGCCCAAAGUGGGUGGUAAGCUCCAUCUAAGGCUAAAUAUUACCACGAGACCGAUAGUUAACAAGUACCGUAAGGGAAAGUUGAAAAGAACUUUGAAGAGAGAGUUCAAGAGUACGUGAAACCGUUUAGAGGGAAACGGAUGGGCCCGCAGAAUAACGCUCGCGGAAAUCAGCUCGCCGCUCUUGUCUCUAGCCGGAGUGUACUGACUGGCGAAAUGCGAGUCUGGUGCGCGCUUCCGGCAAGUGGUGGGUGCAUUUUCCGCCGGGCUAGAGCCACGACCGGUUCUGAGCCGACCAAAACGACCGGGGCAAGGUAGCGCGCCUUUCGUACCUCGUGUACGGUCUGCGCGUCUUACAGGCCUCUGGUAGACAGCGCUUCUCGCGCCCGUGUCGUGCUCGGGACCGAGUAGAACGACGACCGUGAUCACGCCUGGCAUGUCCGGACCGCGUCUCAGUCUGACCGAUGUGGUACUUCUCUCGUAGAGGUGCCGCGCUCUCGGCCGGCUGGACGUGGCACCGGCGGCCUAGUAGUCGGGAUCAGUGGCUCAUUGUAAGUCGGCAACCCGUUC
RNAcentral lists this ribosomal RNA (820 nucleotides) under Sphaerodoridium cf. fauchaldi SPH312. Its description in RNAcentral is "eukaryotic LSU rRNA". It matches the Rfam family "Eukaryotic large subunit ribosomal RNA", at positions 45 to 645 of the family's 3401-position model. The record is from RNAcentral. Lineage: Eukaryota; Metazoa; Annelida; Polychaeta; Phyllodocida; Sphaerodoridae.